Molecule: long non-coding RNA, 628 nt
Filed under: Homo sapiens (human)
Lineage: Eukaryota; Metazoa; Chordata; Mammalia; Primates; Hominidae
Description: non-protein coding lnc-PDGFA-17:22
Source: RNAcentral
CGGGAACAGUGGAGGGUGCGAGGAAGACAAUGGGGGAGGACCCUGAGGCGGCCUCUGUGAGCCGACAGGAACACGUGGUCGAUCAGAGAGAGACUCGAGGUUCGUGAACGGAUGGGGAGGACCCUGAAAAGCACUGUGGAAUACAGGUUUCUAGUAACUUCAAAAUCACAUCAUUUGGACUGGCUUCUUUGGGAUGUCCGCUCUGCAUAUCUACUAAGGAAUUAAGAAAUAAUGGCUUCAGCAAGAAACAAGGCAGGAAAGUGCAGUGACAUGAGGACCAUACAGGGAAGGAGCUGUCCCCAAAGGUGAGAAUGGCCCUGGACAAGGGUUCUUGCUGUGACUUCACUCAGACCAGACCACCUUGACCUUUUCAUCACCGUGCCUCAGCGAAGUCAGUCGUUGAUUCUCUGAUCGGUUACUGAGAUCAUCAUGAAAUCUCCCUCGUACGAGAGUUGCAGAACUCUGCAGUGUCAAUCAUAGUGUUUGGGAGAGAGGACUUUCUACCUCCAUCCUUUUUCUGAACCUAAAUGGAAUGAAAAUUAGAACUGUUGCUUAUUCUUUGAGGUAAUUUCAAAUUCCCUUAUCCAAACCAGUGUUACAAAAGGACUCCAGUUUGCCCCCCAAAUCG